RNA transcript from Phyllopteryx taeniolatus (common seadragon), 5675 nucleotides. It is a transcript of the gene named leucine rich repeat and fibronectin type III domain containing 1, with no coding region annotated. The record is from RefSeq and is a predicted model, not a curated record. The transcript is spliced from 4 exons. Lineage: Eukaryota; Metazoa; Chordata; Actinopteri; Syngnathiformes; Syngnathidae.
GGGGGGGGGGGGGGGGUUGAUAUUGACUUUAAGCUGCGACACUUGACUCUCCUUCACGUCUCUUUUAGGAUCAUUUCAGCAGCUCCCCUCCACUACCGCGCGUCAAUUUGGAAUACAUUAACUCCCGUUCAGCCUCCUCGAUUGGACGCGAAGUGGAGGGAAUCAUGUGCAACUCUUCAUUAGUGUCACUUUUGAUGCAAGCUGCUUUCAAGUAAAGCCCCACGACGAGCAACUCUGAGCAGCGCGAUAGUCGGGUGGUGUUUUCCUGUUAAACCCAGCUAUCCACCACUACCAGUGCCCCCUAGUGGGGAGUGGGCAUCCAGCUGAUUGGGAUACUGAUGUGAUACCUGCAAUGGAAACCGGAGCUUGACUUGUGGACCGCAGGCGUGCUGGAGCCUAUCCCAGCUAUGUUCGGGCGAGAGGCAGGGUACAACCUGAACUGGUCGCCAGCCAAUCGCAGGGCACAUAUAAACAAACAACCAUUCACACUCACACCUGCGGGUAAUUAAGAGUCUUCAAUCAACCUACCACGCAUGUUUUUGGGAUGUGGGAGGACACCAGAGUACCCGGAGAAACCAACGCAGGCACAGGGAGAACAUGCAAACUCCACAUAGGUGAGGCCGGAUUUGAACCCAGGUCCUCAGAACUGUGAGGCAGAUGUGCUAACCAGUCGCUCACCGUGCCGCCAGGCCCAAAUUAUCCUUUAAAAACUUUCAUAGUUCUUAAAAAUUCCACAGAUGCAAUUGACAGCAUUUCUAUACUUGCUUUGAAAUUAGACUGGACUCGCAAUGAAAUUGUACUUUCAUGAGGGGUAAAGAAGGAGGCAUCUAUUUGUUUUUAGCAUUUAUUUUUUUUAAGUGGACAACACAACCAGCCCUAUUUGGGCACAAUAUAUGUCAUGAUAAAGUAACAGUUGUUUGGAUUUAAAGAUUUAUAAUUACCAUAACAUCAAUGCUAUUUCCUAUUAGUCCAUCUAUGGUGUUUCACAUUAUGUAUUAUCAUUAAGCUAGAUUACGUUCAUUAUCAUAGGGCUGAAUAUUUUGGUGUUUUAAUACAGAAUGUUUAAUUCUCUUUUGUGUCAAUUUUACAGUAAACUUUAACUGGCAGUGACAAAUAAGCAGCUUGAAGAAGGCAGUCCACUGUAUUUGAAACUGAAAAAAAAAUUAAAUCAAAUUACCAAGAUCUAGGAAUUGUUUUCACUCUAAUUUCUACAGGUGCAUAGUAAUUCUGAAAAACUAAAUUGACUCACCAACUGUACAAAAUAAAGUGAAAACUAUUUUAAAUGUAUUUUUUUUUUAAAAAGACUAAAUGAGAGACGUUACAUCUUAUUGAAGUGGCCAAGUCAUAAAUUUGACUACUUUAAACCUGCAAAUAAAUGUGAAAUAUGUGAUCCAUGCGGGUUAAGGAAGGUUGCUGGUGGAGUCUCUAAAGUUGAAAUGGGCCAUAAUGUGCAGCCAUACCUAACGCUUGGGCCUUACAUCAUAUAUUUUAGCAUGCGAGUGUUCAUUAAACACUGGUGCAUGAGAGGAUGGAGUUAAUGAUCUGUACUGUGUCUUCAGAGAGCAGUCAGUCAUGAAUAAUUGUGCUUGUGUUUUUAUUUUUUAAACAGUGAAUGUCACACAACUUUAAUGCAUCCACUACUGUUUUCAUCGAGGGAAUCGCUUUUUGAGGGUAAAAAUAGAAAUACCCCUGUGGGAGAUGGCUGUUCGACCUACCUCUGACCCGCUGUGGUCGUAACCUCCGUGCUGGCUGUAACCAAAAGGAAAUUGCUCAGUGAUAGGAACAAAGUACUUGGAUGGCUCCCGCUUGCACUGCGCUGGUUCAAAGGGAAUGGCUGGACCCGCCUAAUUAGCCUGCUAGUGUUGCUGAGUUGGACGUAAUGGCUGUUCCCCUCAGUGUUUUUCCAACAAGUAGCCUCGCUCAUCUUGCAUAGUCAAAAAGAAAAAGAGUCAGUUUUUUCCCAAUUUUUGCCAACAGAUAAGUCGGGGCUAUCUGCAUUGUGUUCAAUUAAACAGGUCCACAUUUCACACCGAGUAAGUGAAUUUGUGAGUAAAUUGUGACUAGAUCACCAAUAUUUCAGUAUUUUUCAGUAGGAUUGUUACAUGUUCUGUAGUGUGCAGUGAGAUUGCUGUACUCUAAAAUGGGUGCCUUGCCUCAGAAAAGGUUGGAAAACACUGAUGUACGUCAUCAUCAUCAUCAUCAGCUCAGAGUCAAUAUUUACAAUAUUUAGGACAAAGACAUAACUCAAUGAAAAAUGCAUCAUACACACCAGGGAUGCUUGUUAUUAAAUCUAUUAAUGUGUGCAGAUUGCUACAGAUAUGUUUUGCUGUUGAAGUUGGCUGUAACCAAUCAGAAAAUCAAUGACCUUUGGAGGACAAAUUCAAACUCUGAUUGGUUAGAGAAACAGUCCAAUAGCUAAUGUAGUUUACGUUAUAUGGGACAGCACUACUGAUUCUGAAAGCCAUGGGCAGAUUAACUUGACAUGGCAACACAGAAGCAGCAAUGCGAACGGAUAAAAAAAAAAAAAAAAAAAGUAACACACGUACUGUAAGCAGUGCAGCCACCCAUAGUUUAAAGUAAUAUGUAGAAAUUGUUCGUUUGUCGAUAAUACAUUGGCUUGGAAUAAAGAGAAUUGCCUCUUUAUCAUUGCCAUAGUGAUACUGGAUCACCUGGUUUAGUUGCUGGACCAACCAGGACACCGAGCAUCAGUGUUGUUCAGACUUGUGUAGUGCUUGCGCAAUUUUUUUAGAAUAGUAAAAAAAAAAAUUGUAAUCUUUGUUCAUUUUAAGACAUGGUGUUAUAACAUAGAUAAGACAGCUAACAGAAUAGCCUGAUUUUCCCUAAAACAUUUUAGAUAGAUUUGCUGAAGGACCUGGAUAAAAAUGCAGAUAAGUUAUUUUCAGUUUUAGUCACUAUGGCAUGAGUUGAACUGUCCACACGUCCGUCAAUCCAUUUUCUAUACCACUUAUCCUAAUUAGAGUCGCAGGUGAGCUAUCCGACUUGGGGCAAGAGGCGGGGUACACCCAGUGAGCUCAACUCAACUCACUUGACAAUAAGCAGCACUUUGGCGAAUAGUGAAGAAUUAUUGAAGAACAAAAAAAAAGGCGUCAAGUAGUUUAAUGCCACUCCCAGUUGAAGUUUACUGUCAAACUAAACUUUAAACUAGGAGAAGUACACAUUGUGUAUUUAAACCAAAAACAUAGCUUAUCCUAGCUAUUUUAAUGCUUAUCCAAACAUCUGAUGAGAAAAACAUAUAUAACCCUUUAAGCAACUGGUAUUUGAACACAAACGGUGCGACAACACAUUUAAACAAUCAGUAUAACAAUACUCAGUCAUAUAUUCUGUAUCCUCUGCGAGGAGCUGAGACGAGCGGAGAGGAUCUAAGAUGUCUAUACGUCACAGACAUCCAUGUACAGAAUAUCCGACAUACAUUGCCCCCAGGUGGCCAAGGUGGUCAGUAGCACAAUGGCCAUUCAACUCUUUUUAAUUAAGUCAUUACUGUCUUUUUAUAAAGUAAAAUAUUGUACUUUAUUUUAUACACACAUAUAUGUGUAUGUAUACAUAUAUGGGCAGCUUGGAUUCAGUUCCCACUGAGUGACGGUGUGAAUGUGAGUGCGAAUGGUCGUCCAUGUCUGUAUGUGCCCUGCUACUGACUGGCGACCAGUUCAGGGUGUAGUCUGCCUUUCGCUUGAAGUCAGCUGGGAUAGGCUCCAGUGCGCCGCGACCCUGAACAGGAUAAGCGGUAUUGAGAAUGGAUGAAUUCCUUCAUGUUGCUUGAACUAUUUCUGAGAGCACAAUUAUCUUUUAGUAGCAAUUUGUGUUGUAGUAGCAGUUCCAGGCCCUUUUUUAAAAAAAUUCUUUUCGAUUCUUUGGGCAUUUUUGGCCUUCAGCUCUUUGAAGUGUAAUUUAAUCCAGGUUGUCAAGUCUGAGUGGGCAUGAGGCGCAACAACACAACUCCCUCCUCUAGUUCAUGGCUGCGUGCACAACAUGAUGGCAGCCCGCAACCGAAAAAAGGUGCUAAGUAGAUAGUGAAGCCAAGUUUCUGGGACAGAACAAGGGAGAGAAAGGGGUCAAGUUAUUAGCUUUCUGCAUUCAACAUUCUGGCAGGCAGCGCCACUGUUCCUAUGAGCCUGCCUUCUUCCCCCCUUGGGUUCUGUGGUCCGCCUCUCUUGUCAAAGUAAUCAUGCAGCCGGUGUGUCCUAGAAUCUCAAGUGUCGAAGGCGAGCGACUGUUCUUUAGGUUAACAACAUUCGUCGCCACGUUAAGACACCAUAGCAUCUCUGGAGUCGCAUGAGAAAUGAACUUUGCCAUUCACUUCUUAUAUUGUCAUAUUACAUUUCAUAUACUGUAUCCAUUUGAAAUGGCUAAAUACAGUAGAACCCCUGAAAGUGAAUGCCUCAAGUCUGGGGUUAGGGUUUCAAAUAUAGGUUUCAAGCCAAUGUUAGGGUUUUAAAGUAGGGUUUCAAGCAAUAGUUAGGUUUUGAAGUUAGAGUUUCAGACUACAAUUAGGGUUUCAAGGCAUGGUUAGGGUUUCAAAUUGGGGUUUCCUAUUCUUCCAGUUCCAGAAUAGGUUUUCAUAGUAUGGUUAGUAGCCAACAUUGUGGUUUUAAAUUUAGGGUCUACACAGCUGUCAAAUGUUAGUGAACGUCCGUAUUUUGUUAUGGAAGUCACUGAACAUUGACUCGUUAUGGCCGUACCACUGAUUGUUCUGGAUAUUAAAACAACAAAAUCCAGCGUCCGUCAUUAUAAGUCCACAUUGAACAGGUGCUUGGUGCACGCUAUUCAUUUAUUGAUUUUCCCUUUUGGCUGUUAGAUCAGACAGAAAGGAGGAACUAUAUCCCUUUUAUGCCGGAACAGUUUUACUGUGCCAAAGUGGUUCUUUGUAUUCUGAUGGAUUUUUAUUGAAAAUUGAAAAAAACAAAGGGGAGAGACUGUUAAAAGAUAAUUAAAUAAUAUAGGAAGAGAAGACGUGGCACGGUGACCGACUGGUUAGAGCGUCAGCCUCACAGUUCUGAGGACCCGGGUUCAAUCCCCGUCCCCGCCUGUGGGGAGUUUGCAUGUUCUCCCCGUGCCUGCGUGGGUUUUCUCCGGGCACUCCGGUUUCCUCCCACAUCCCAAAAACAUGCAUUAAUUGGAGACUCUAAAAUUGGCGUGACUGUGACUGUGAGUGCGAAUGGUUGUUUGUUUCUAUGUGCCCUGCGAUUGGCUGGCAACCAGUUCAGGGUGUACCCCGCCUCCUGCCCGAUGACAGCUGGGAUAGGCUCCAGCACGCCCGCGACCCUAGUGAGGCGAAGUGGCUCAGAAAUGGCUCAGAAAAUGGAUGGAUGGAGGAAGAGAAGACAACAAAAGACAGGACAUUAGCUGUAAUAAAGAUGAGGAAAGUAAAUCAUUUAUGCCGAGUACAUUCAUGCUCUGAUUUUUUUUUAAACAUAAGUUAAUCACCAGUCACUCUUUACUUGAGUAGUUUUUUUUCACUGAGUACUUUUUUACGCUUAACUAAAUAUUUGAAGGACUACUUUUACUUGAGUCAUAUUAUUCUACAAUAACAGUACUCUUACUUGAGUACAAUAUUCGGCAACUCUACCCACCUCUGGUCGUAACUUUAAUUAAAUUAUAUGUGAAAAUCCAUCCAUCCAUCCAUCCAUUUUCAACACCGCUUAUCCUGGUUAGGGUCG